RNAcentral lists this ribosomal RNA (325 nucleotides) under uncultured bacterium. RNAcentral describes it as "bacterial SSU rRNA". It matches the Rfam family "Bacterial small subunit ribosomal RNA", at positions 18 to 344 of the family's 1533-position model. The record is from RNAcentral.
CAUGGCUCAGGAUGAACGCUGACAGAAUGCUUAACACAUGCAAGUCGAGGGGGAAGGGGUGCUUGCACCAUGGUAACCAGGGCGGAGGGGUGAGUAACGCGUAAGGAACUUGCCUACGGGACCGGGAUAACAGCAGGAAACUGAUGAAAAGACCGGAUAAGGUCAUGAAGCUGCAUAGCUUAGUGAUGAAAGGAGACGCCUGCGGAGAGCCUUGCGUCCUAUUAGCUAGUUGGAGGGGUAACGGCCCACCAAGGCGAAGAUAGGUAGCCGGCCUGAGAGGGUGGACGGCCACAAGGGGACUGAGAUACGGCCCUUACUCCUACGG